GACGAACGCUGGCGGCGUGCUUAACACAUGCAAGUCGAACGGAAAGGCCCUGCUUUUGUGGGGUGCUCGAGUGGCGAACGGGUGAGUAACACGUGAGUAACCUGCCCUUGACUUUGGGAUAACUUCAGGAAACUGGGGCUAAUACCGGAUAGGAGCUCCUGCUGCAUGGUGGGGGUUGGAAAGUUUCGGCGGUUGGGGCUGGACUCGCGGCUUAUCAGCUUGUUGGUGGGGUAGUGGCUUACCAAGGCUUUGACGGGUAGCCGGCCUGGGAGGGUGACCGGCGACAUUGGGACUGCGAUACGGACCAGAAUCCUACGGGAGGCAGCAGUGGGGAAUAUUGCGCAGUGGGCGGAAGCCUGAUGCAGCAACGCCGCGUGCGGGAUGACGGCCUUCGGGUUGUAAACCGCUUUCGACUGUGACGAAGCGUGAGUGACGGUAAUUGGUAAAGAAGCACCGGCUAACUACGUG
Molecule: ribosomal RNA, 468 nt
Filed under: uncultured bacterium
Lineage: Bacteria
Description: partial 16S ribosomal RNA
Rfam family: Bacterial small subunit ribosomal RNA
Source: RNAcentral